UGCGUAGGUGGCGAGGUAAGUCGGAUGUGAAAGCUCGGAGCUCAACUCCGAAAUGGCAUUGGAAACUACCUUGCUCGAGGGUUGGAGGGGGGACUGGAAUUCUCGGUGUAGCAGUGAAAUGCGUAGAUAUCGAGAGGAACACCAGUGGCGAAGGCGAGUCCCUGGACAACUCCUGACACUGAGGCACGAAAGCUAGGGAGCAAACA
RNAcentral lists this ribosomal RNA (206 nucleotides) under uncultured bacterium. Its description in RNAcentral is "partial 16S ribosomal RNA". It matches the Rfam family "Bacterial small subunit ribosomal RNA", at positions 568 to 774 of the family's 1533-position model. The record is from RNAcentral.